GAUGAACGCUGGCGGCGUGCCUAAUACAUGCAAGUCGAGCGAACGGACGAGAAGCUUGCUUCUCUGAUGUUAGCGGCGGACGGGUGAGUAACACGUGGAUAACCUACCUAUAAGACUGGGAUAACUUCGGGAAACCGGAGCUAAUACCGGAUAAUAUUUUGAACCGCAUGGUUCAAAAGUGAAAGACGGUCUUGCUGUCACUUAUAGAUGGAUCCGCGCUGCAUUAGCUAGUUGGUAAGGUAACGGCUUACCAAGGCAACGAUGCAUAGCCGACCUGAGAGGGGGACCGGCCACCUGGGAAUUGAGACACGGCCCAGCCCCCCAGGGGGGGCAGCAGGAGGGAAUCUGCCGCAAUGGGCGAAACCCUGACGGAGCAACGCCGCGGGGGUGAUGAAGGUUUGCGGAUCGUAAACCCCUUUUAUUGGGGAAGAAAAAAUGUGUAAGUAACUGUGCAAAUUUUGACGGUACCAAAUCAGAAAGCCACGGCUAACUACGU
This 496-nucleotide ribosomal RNA is filed under the name uncultured bacterium. Its description in RNAcentral is "partial 16S ribosomal RNA". It matches the Rfam family "Bacterial small subunit ribosomal RNA", at positions 28 to 506 of the family's 1533-position model. The record is from RNAcentral.